UACGUAGGGUGCAAGCGUUGUCCGGAAUUAUUGGGCGUAAAGAGCUCGUAGGCGGUCUGUCGCGUCGGAUGUGAAAAUCAGGGCUCAACCCUGGACCUGCAUUCGAUACGGGCAGACUAGAGUUCGGUAGGGGAGACUGGAAUUCCUGGUGUAGCGGUGAAAUGCGCAGAUAUCAGGAGGAACACCGGUGGCGAAGGCGGGACUCUGGGCCGAUACUGACGCUGAGGAGCGAAAGCGUGGGGGAGCAAACAGG
RNAcentral lists this ribosomal RNA (253 nucleotides) under uncultured bacterium. RNAcentral's name for it is "partial 16S ribosomal RNA". It matches the Rfam family "Bacterial small subunit ribosomal RNA", at positions 524 to 776 of the family's 1533-position model. The record is from RNAcentral.